GGCGUCCCUCCUGUGACAGUCUCCAAACGGCUCAGAGACGCAAAGACUCAGUCCUCAGGGGGGGUUCAGUGAGGAGAGAGGAGGAGGAGGAGAAAAGGAGAGGAGAAGGAGAAGAGAGGAGAGGAGAGAGGAGGAGAGUGAGAGGACGGUCUGAUGAUGAAGGGUGUCUCCUGUCUGUGGCAGAGGCUGCGGACGCCGUCCCUCAGUUUGUCAGUGCGUCUCUGAAGUUUAGAGUUCAGAGGUCAGGAGGUCAGGAGGUCAGGAGGUCGUUUAAUGACUGAGAGGUUGACGGUUCGAAAACUCCUGAAGGGAAAAUCAAUCAUUCUGACGCAUCAUUAUGAUAUUAAUGAUCAAUAAUUAUGAUCAUUUUUAUUGAUUAUUAUUUCAUUACUCACCUUGAUCAGACCAGGACUUGGCUGCUGAUUGGCUGAAAGCUCUGACAUCACACCUGUGAGACGCUGUAACGUGAACGCACCGCCAUCUAGAUUUAAAGCUCCGCCCACUUCCUGCCUGAAGGUCGGCGUGUUGAUGAGAUGGUUUAGAUUUAAACAAAGUUAAAUUUGAAUAAUCUGACCUUCAACCAGCGUGUCUGUCUUUGAUCUUACAAACACGUCUGUGAACAUGAUCAGGAUCAAUGAUCUUCAUGAUGAUCCUGCUGCAUCGACAAGAUCAUCCAUCGGGUUUUUAGGACCUCCUCUUUUACAGUGUGGAUCUGAGAUGAUGAUGUGUUCUCCUCCUCCUACUCCUCCUCCUCCUCCUCUCCUCCUCCUCUCCUCCUCCUCCUCCUC
Molecule: long non-coding RNA, 788 nt
Filed under: Xyrichtys novacula (pearly razorfish)
Lineage: Eukaryota; Metazoa; Chordata; Actinopteri; Labriformes; Labridae
Source: RNAcentral